RNAcentral lists this ribosomal RNA (239 nucleotides) under uncultured bacterium. RNAcentral's name for it is "partial 16S ribosomal RNA". It matches the Rfam family "Bacterial small subunit ribosomal RNA", at positions 524 to 761 of the family's 1533-position model. The record is from RNAcentral.
UACGUAGGGGGCGAGCGUUUGUCCGAAGUUACUGGGCGUAAAGCGCGCGUAGGCGGUUUCUUAAGUCUGAGGUGAAAGGUUCAACGCUUAACGUGAACAGUGCCUUGGAUACUGGGAGACUUGAGUGUGGCAGAGGAUAGUGGAAUUCCUGGUGUAGCGGUGAAAUGCGUAGAUAUCAGGAGGACACCCAUGGCGAAGGGCAGCUAUCUGGGCUAACACUGACGUGAGGUGCAAAAGCG